Molecule: ribosomal RNA, 490 nt
Filed under: uncultured bacterium
Lineage: Bacteria
Description: partial 16S ribosomal RNA
Rfam family: Bacterial small subunit ribosomal RNA
Source: RNAcentral
AUUGAACGCUGGCGGCAGGCCUAACACAUGCAAGUCGAACGGUAACAGGAAGAAGCUUGCUUCUUUGCUGACGAGUGGCGGACGGGUGAGUAAUGUCUGGGAAACUGCCUGAUGGAGGGGGAUAACUACUGGAAACGGUAGCUAAUACCGCAUAAUGUCGCAAGACCAAAGAGGGGGACCUUCGGGCCUCUUGCAAUCGGAUGUGCCCAGAUGGGAUUAGCUAGUAGGUGGGGUAACGGCUCACCUAGGCGACGAUCCCUAGCUGGUCUGAGAGGAUGACCAGCCACACUGGAACUGAGACACGGUCCAGACUCCUACGGGAGGCAGCAGUGGGGAAUAUUGCACAAUGGGCGCAAGCCUGAUGCAGCUAUGCCGCGUGUAUGAAGAAGGCCUUCGGGUUGUAAAGUACUUUCAGCGGGGAGGAAGGGAGUAAAGUUAAUACCUUUGCUCAUUGACGUUACCCGCAGAAGAAGCACCGGCUAACUCCGUG